GGCUUGUUAGCUCGGUUGGUAGAGCACUGCACUUGCAUCCCAGAGGUCAUGGGUUCGAAUCCCGUACAGGCCU
This 73-nucleotide transfer RNA is filed under the name Stylophora pistillata. RNAcentral's name for it is "tRNA-Ala". It matches the Rfam family "tRNA". From Rfam's summary of the family: Transfer RNA (tRNA) molecules are approximately 80 nucleotides in length. Their secondary structure includes four short double-helical elements and three loops (D, anti-codon, and T loops). Further hydrogen bonds mediate the characteristic L-shaped molecular structure. tRNAs have two regions of fundamental functional importance: the anti-codon, which is responsible for specific mRNA codon recognition, and the 3' end, to which the tRNAs corresponding amino acid is attached (by aminoacyl-tRNA synthetases). tRNAs cope with the degeneracy of the genetic code in two manners: having more than one tRNA (with a specific anti-codon) for a particular amino acid; and 'wobble' base-pairing, i.e. permitting non-standard base-pairing at the 3rd anti-codon position. Lineage: Eukaryota; Metazoa; Cnidaria; Anthozoa; Scleractinia; Pocilloporidae. The record is from Rfam by way of RNAcentral.